AGUGAACGCUGGCGGUAGGCCUAACACAUGCAAGUCGAACGGCAGCACAGUAAGAGCUUGCUCUUACGGGUGGCGAGUGGCGGACGGGUGAGGAAUACAUCGGCAUCUACUUUUUCGUGGGGGAUAACGUAGGGACACUUACGCUAAUACCGCAUACGACCUACGGGUGAAAGCAGGGGAUCUUCGGACCUUUCGCGAUUGAAUGAGCCGAUGUCGGAUUAGCUAGUUGGCGGGGUAAAGGCUCACCAAGGCGACGAUCCGUAGCUGGUCUGAGAGGAUGAUCAGCCACACUGGAACUGAGACACGGUCCAGACUCCUACGGGAGGCAGCAGUGGGGAAUAUUGGACAAUGGGCGAAAGCCUGACCCAGCCAUACCGCGUGGGUGAAGAAGGUCUUCGGGUUGUAAAGCCCUUUUGUUGGGAAAGAAAAGCAGCAGGUUAAUACCCCGCUGUUCUGACGGUACCCAAAGAAUAAGCACCGGCUAACUUCGUG
This 492-nucleotide ribosomal RNA is filed under the name uncultured bacterium. RNAcentral describes it as "partial 16S ribosomal RNA". It matches the Rfam family "Bacterial small subunit ribosomal RNA", at positions 29 to 507 of the family's 1533-position model. The record is from RNAcentral.